GGAUAUAAGGGGUGAUGGAGCUGCAACAUCUGUCACGCCACUGAGCACCAGGGUCGGCUGAGCUCAUCUGGCUCGCUCGGCGGGUGUCCCCUUCCUCCCUCCCGCUCCAGCUGCUCUCCUGACUUCAAAGACAACGUGUGUCAGUGGCUGCCAACCUCCAACUCCAGAGCUGCUCACUAAUUAAGAGUUCCUGAUCUGCGCUUUCUGUUAGAAGUACUAGGGGCAGCUAGAAUGCAGGACACAUGGCAUGAUGCAUACGGCACUUACUUCAU
Molecule: small nuclear RNA, 272 nt
Filed under: Octodon degus (degu)
Lineage: Eukaryota; Metazoa; Chordata; Mammalia; Rodentia; Octodontidae
Description: 7SK RNA (ENSODEG00000025810.1)
Rfam family: 7SK RNA
About the family: 7SK was discovered as an abundant small nuclear RNA in the mid-70s but a possible function has only recently been suggested. Two independent studies have found that 7SK RNA binds the CDK9/cyclin T complex (known as elongation factor P-TEFb).
Source: Rfam by way of RNAcentral